This 261-nucleotide long non-coding RNA is filed under the name Coffea arabica (coffee). Its description in RNAcentral is "long non-coding RNA (CARA_LNC007222)". The record is from RNAcentral. Lineage: Eukaryota; Viridiplantae; Streptophyta; Magnoliopsida; Gentianales; Rubiaceae.
GGGCUACAACAAAAUGAAGUAAAAUGUGUUUUCUACAAGGGAAAAACAUCAGGAAAUACCAAAACUUGCAUAUUUUUUCCAAUUUGAGAGCUAGGGUUUAUAUGAAAAAAAGGAGAUUUGCCUAAAUUCCCAACAUCAUCUGCAAAAUCAUUCCAUUGAAAGGCACUUGAGGAGAAAUUGGGGUAAAGCAACUUCAAGCCCGACUAGUGAUAGCUUUUCAAAGAAUGUGGUCUCAAAUCCUUCGGAAUCAGCAACAGAAGU